RNAcentral lists this ribosomal RNA (1311 nucleotides) under Triticum aestivum (bread wheat). RNAcentral's name for it is "partial small subunit ribosomal RNA". Lineage: Eukaryota; Viridiplantae; Streptophyta; Magnoliopsida; Poales; Poaceae. The record is from RNAcentral.
AUGUCUCCGGUGAGAGUAAUCCACGCGAGCUACGUCGACGUGCCGGCAACCGCCAUGGUGUCACCAGAGCCGAUCAAGCUCACGGCGAUGGAGGCGCAGUGGGUCGUCGUCCCGGUGCUGCAGCACGUCCUGCUGUACGAGGGCGAAGACUUGCCGCACUUCAACGACGUUCUCCAGUCCCUCAGCUCCUCCGCCGCGACUCUGCGCAGCUUCGCCCCACUGGCCGGCAAGCUCGUACACCUCGAAGGCACGGGCGACGUUGCUAUUGUCUGCUCCUCCUCGGACGGCGUCGGUUUCAUCGUCGCAGAGUCCGACGCCGACAUCCACCGCCUCGCCGGCGACGAGGAGCACGACGUGCGCGUGCUCCAGCGGCUCGCGCCGGAGGUGGACAUGGGCGAGCUGCCGACCCCCGUCCUGGCCGUGCAGGCCACGCGCUUCGAGGGAGGCGUGGCGGUCGGGGUGACGGUGCACCACGGCGUCGCCGACGGGUGGUCGCUGUGGACGUUCGUCGAGGCGUGGGCGACGGCGUGCCGAGGCGAGACGCGGGCGGCGACACCGUGCUUCGACCGCUCGCUCGUCAAGCUGCCUGGUGGCCAAGAGCUGGCCAGGAGCUUCUUGAGAAAGUACGCGCCAAAUCUACCAAAGGUAUGUUCAUUGGCGCCGCUCUUAGAGGACCAUGCACGGUUGACGCGCCGGACGUUCACCUUGGACGCGCGGAACAUCCAGCGCCUCAAAGAGCGCAUCGUGCGUCUCGGCGAAGCCCACGGCGCGGCGCCGCCGUCCACCUUCAUCGCGGUCGUCGCGCUCGCCUGGACGUGCUUCGCCCGGUGCAAGCCGUUCGCCUCGGACGACGACGUGAUGGUCGGCUUCCUCGCGGAUGCCCGGCACUGCCUCGAGCCUCCCGUCGACGCGGGAUACUUCGGCGCGUGCCUCACCGGAUGCAUCGCGAGCCUCCCCGCGCGCGAGCUCCGCGACGAGCAUGCCCUGGCGGCCGCGGCGCGUGCGGUGCAGGAGGAGGUCCGCAAGAAGACGGAGGACCCGAUGGCCGGGUGCAAUUUCCUGGCACCAGCGUUCACGGUCGCCUUGGAACGGCUGAUGAACGUGUCUGGCGCGUCGAGCUUCCGGGCCUACGAGCUGGCGGACUUCGGGUGGGGCAGGCCGAGGCGGACGGAGAAUACCAGGAUGAACCGUGACGGCCAGGUGGCGCUGAUGCGCGCCAGGGACGGGCUGGGAGUGCAGGUAUCGGUCUCGCUGCUCGAACCGGCGCAAAUGGCCGAGUUCAAGUCUCAGUUGCUCGAGUUAGUCGGUUAA